GAACAUACAAAACUAAGUGAUUUUUGGAUUCUGCCAAAAGGCCCACAAAGUCCUAGAGACCAUUUGGUUGAAACCGAUAUAUAGUAUAAUAAAGGGGAAAUGAAUUGCAUAAGAUUAAAGACAUAAUAUAUUAUGCAGUGUGCCAUCGUGAAUUUAAGAGAAUUGAAUGAAAUGUUGAUAUGGAAAGUGGUGACCCCACCACACCACACCUUCCGCAAGUUAUAAUGAUGAUUUACACAUAAUAAUCUUCCACAACCAGGGAUGGAUCUGAAUAAGCUUACUACAAUUACCCAAAAUAGGUAUUCUUCUUUUAUUUCAGGAGAGGUGUGACAAUGAUUAACGUAGAAAAUGAUGCGAGGGUAAGGGGUAUUAAGGGAUCAGGAAAAGAGACGCAUGGGACGUAAGAAGCCUCCAAAACCACCGCGGCCUCCUAGGGGUGGCCGAUCAUUAAGUGAAGCUGAUAUAAAAUUGGUUAGAGAAAUUUCGGAACUUUCAAGGUGAAGGCAUACAAGGAAUGAUAGAAGAAAGAAAUUAGAGAAAAAGAGAGUUGAUAAGGCAUCUUCAUCACAUGCUAGUGUUUUUGCAAUGAUCAUCACCAUUCUCUUCAUCUGUUUCGUAAUCUUUCAAGGUAACCACCCAAGGCUCAUUUGUAUGUUUUAAUCUAUUUUUCUUUGCUUAAGCUAUCCUAUAUAUAUGACCUUCAAUUCAAUGUGUGGAUUAGAUCAAAAACAAAUCAGAUAAUCAUCCCUUGGAUAAAUACAUAUUCUUUGUCCAUUCAGCCCCUCUAAUUACUUGUCUUGGUAAUCUAGCUUUUUCUUUUGUUUAUUACAAUUGAUUAGAUAGACAUAUUAAUUAAUUAUUUGAAUAAGGUAAUUAACAUGCAUAUCCAAUUUUUUGAAAUUUAGAUGUAGUUACCCUACCAAUCUUGAGUUGAAUGUGUAAUAUUAUAUCUAUCACAGAUAUGCUGAAAAGGUUGAAGAAUAUAACUACUACUUUUGUGUUAAAUUGUAGCAGGUAAAGUUCAUGAUGGCAUCAUAUCAAUCUUGUUUCUUUCCUAGACUUAUUAGGCAUCUUGGGUUCUAAUGUAUGAUUGUAAUUGGAUUAGAGUUCUUCAGAUUUGCUUAAUGUAGACUAAGGUUUCUAUAUUUCUUCACCAACAUCACCAUUCAAACAUUGGUUCCAAAAACAUUCCAAGAGUUUCAGAUUUCAGAAAACUUAAUGGAUGAUUUAAGUUCAAUUCUUAAAACUAUUUUGCACAUAAAAAUAAACGAAGGUGUGGGAUACUAGCUUCCCAAGUAUGAGGCCUUGUUUGAAGAACUUUGACAAAAUUGGUUUGUUCCACAUGAGUUUUACAACAUUCUACUUAUGAUGAUUUUGUUUUUCCUCUGCAAGUAUGUAAUGAAACAACUGCUAUUGAGUUCUGAAUAUGUUUGAUUUUUUCAAAUUUAUCAAAUGUGGUGCACUACAAAUAGACAUGGUUUCUUCAAUCUAAUUAUAUAUGUUAAAUGUUGAAGCAUAUUGACCAGGGAUUCAAAUUGCGGUUGCAGCCAUGUUUUCAGUCGCAUUGCGUUUAUCGUGGUUGCGGAUAUAACAUAUACUAUUGCGGCCACUGUGGGUAUUGCGGUAGUGAAUUUUUUUUAAAAUUCGCACAACUUAUUGUAAAACAUAAUAAUUAUAAUUAUAAUUAUAAAAAGUCAGUUUUAAUGAUUUUUAGAGUGUUUUCUAACAAUUAUGAACUUUUAUUAAUAUGAGAACACAAUUUUUAUAACCAUUAAUUAUUCUUAUAUUUAUUUGUGAAUUUUCUAAGAAUAUUAUAUUAACUAAUAACAAAGUAAAAAAUAGGAAAUAUUAAAAUUUCAUCAUAUUUAAUAAGUUUGAAAGUUUUUAUAGAUAAAAUAAUUGAAAAUUCAUACAUGAGAGAGGUCUUCAAUAUUUCUUGACAGUUUUGAAGAUGGUGAAUAUAUGAAAACAUUCUAUGCUGCAAAAGGAAAAAAGGAAUAGAUAACUGUAUAGAUUCUCAUUAAUUAUUCCUAUUUCCUACCACUUAUUC
RNAcentral lists this long non-coding RNA (2050 nucleotides) under Gossypium barbadense (sea-island cotton). RNAcentral describes it as "long non-coding RNA (GBAR_LNC022457)". The record is from RNAcentral. Lineage: Eukaryota; Viridiplantae; Streptophyta; Magnoliopsida; Malvales; Malvaceae.